Long non-coding RNA from Anastrepha obliqua, 1269 nucleotides. RefSeq lists it as uncharacterized. The record is from RefSeq and is a predicted model, not a curated record. Lineage: Eukaryota; Metazoa; Arthropoda; Insecta; Diptera; Tephritidae. The transcript has 2 exons.
UGAAUGCGAUCACAACUUCAGGUUGAGGUUAGCAACAACAAACUAUUUGUUUGCCGAUUAAUCUACAAUAUGAAGCGUCAGCAUCGGUUACGAACACAAAAAGCCCGUCGUGCCGUACAACUUUCGUUUUGCUGGAAAACAUAACCUCAACCUGACAACGUGGUUGCACACAUGUUUUUGCAUACAUAGGAAAUUGAGGUUAACUUUUUCAUGCCAGUUUGGUACUCAAUUAACCAAAAUUGCACUUUGUGGGGAAAAAGCAAAUAAGAAAAAACGAAAUGGAAGAGAAACAUGCAAGAGAGAAAUUACUAUUUAAUUAAAUUAAGAGCUUUGCAAAUUGGUCUAAUGAUACCUAUAGAGGAUGAUACAUGUUUUCUAGACUGAUCAGUGGAUUUGGUAUUUUUUUUAUCGUCAAAGAUACUCAGUAGCAGAACUGAUAGAAGUCAUCACAAAAGACUAGAAAACAUGUAUUCGUCAAACGCAAUCGAAUAAAAAAAAAUGUACACCUAUAAGACUAAUUCUCACUUCAAUGCAAAUAAUAUGUGUCACCAUCAUACAAGUGGUAUUUGCCCGCAUCUGUGUGUAAUUUUUCGCGUUUAUGCUAUUUAGUAGUAAUAAAAGACAAAAGUGCGUGGAAGAUAGGAAAAUUUUAAAUCGAGAAUCGCGUGUUCGGGUCAGUCACAACUUCGGCUAUAAAGAAAUUUCCAGUAACCGGCACGACAACGAACCGAGUGGGUUGACUAAAUGGCGGCCAUCUUGGAAAAUUUAGUCAUAUACAGCUUUUAAGAUUUUCCUGAAACCGGCUUUUUAAAAUAGCUACUUUCUUUUUACCUUUUUACUAAUCUCAGUACCCUAUCAAACACAAUGUGGAACGUGAUGUCGCCAUUUUGAAAAGUUUAUCGAGUAGAGAAAAUGCAUCCCCUACUCCUCCACUUCAGUACAGAGAAGUUCCAACUUAGUCAAUGAUAGAUUAAGAAGCAAUUCUUUUUUUUUACUUUGCGCAUCGGAUGUCUGAUAGAUAUUUGUCAUUAUUACCGUAUAUAUAAUCUUCUUUAUAUAUAAGGGCGUGGUUAACGGUAGAUUUAUAAUCAAAUAAUUAAAACAAGUACUAAGUAGAGCCGCUAGCGCCACGUGUUUCCAAUUUUUAAUUCCGAGACCACUUUUCCUCACUACUUGGAACAUAUGAAUUCUCUUUAUUGCCUUGUCACCCUAUUACACACAGACGCACACUUCUCCAACAAUUCCAAAAGAAAUGUUGCAAAUCCAAUA